Molecule: non-coding RNA, 22 nt
Filed under: Arabidopsis thaliana (thale cress)
Lineage: Eukaryota; Viridiplantae; Streptophyta; Magnoliopsida; Brassicales; Brassicaceae
Source: RNAcentral
GACGCAUGGACGAGUUUGCUCG